Molecule: ribosomal RNA, 547 nt
Filed under: uncultured bacterium
Lineage: Bacteria
Description: partial 16S ribosomal RNA
Rfam family: Bacterial small subunit ribosomal RNA
Source: RNAcentral
UGGGGAAUUUUGGACAAUGGGGGAAACCCUGAUCCAGCCAUCCCGCGUGUGCGAUGAAGGCCUUCGGGUUGUAAAGCACUUUUGGCAGGAAAGAAACGUCGCGGGUUAAUACCCCGCGAAACUGACGGUACCUGCAGAAUAAGCACCGGCUAACUACGUGCCAGCAGCCGCGGUAAUACGUAGGGUGCAAGCGUUAAUCGGAAUUACUGGGCGUAAAGCGUGCGCAGGCGGUUCGGAAAGAAAGAUGUGAAAUCCCAGAGCUUAACUUUGGAACUGCAUUUUUAACUACCGGGCUAGAGUGUGUCAGAGGGAGGUGGAAUUCCGCGUGUAGCAGUGAAAUGCGUAGAUAUGCGGAGGAACACCGAUGGCGAAGGCAGCCUCCUGGGAUAACACUGACGCUCAUGCACGAAAGCGUGGGGAGCAAACAGGAUUAGAUACCCUGGUAGUCCACGCCCUAAACGAUGUCAACUAGCUGUUGGGGCCUUCGGGCCUUGGUAGCGCAGCUAACGCGUGAAGUUGACCGCCUGGGGAGUNCGGUCGCAAGAUU